Molecule: ribosomal RNA, 325 nt
Filed under: uncultured eukaryote
Lineage: Eukaryota
Description: partial 18S ribosomal RNA
Rfam family: Eukaryotic small subunit ribosomal RNA
Source: RNAcentral
CCCUUAGAUGUUCUGGGCCGCACGCGCGCUACACUGAUGCAUUCAACGAGCCUAUCCUUGACCGACAGGUCCGGGUAAUCUUUGAAUCUGCAUCGUGACGGGGAUAGAUUAUUGCAAUUAUUAAUCUUCAACGAGGAAUGCCUAGUAGGCGCAAGUCAUCAGCUUGCGUCGAUUACGUCCCUGCCUUUUGUACACACCGCCCGUCGCUCCUACCGAUUGGGUGUGCUGGUGAAAUGUUCGGAUCGGCCGUUUGUCGCGGUUUCCGCGUCAUGUGGCUGAGAAGUUCAUUAAACCCUCCCACCGAGAGGAAGGAGAAGUCGUAACA